CCUACGGGGUGCAGCAGUGAGGAAUAUUGGUCAAUGGACGAGAGUCUGAACCAGCCAAGUAGCGUGAAGGAUGACUGCCCUAUGGGUUGUAAACUUCUUUUAUAUGGGAAUAAAAUGUUCCACGUGUGGGAUUUUGUAUGUACCAUAUGAAUAAGGAUCGGCUAACUCCGUGCCAGCAGCCGCGGUAAUACGGAGGAUCCGAGCGUUAUCCGGGUUUAUUGGGUUUAAAGGGAGCGUAGGUGGAUUGUUAAGUCAGUUGUGAAAGUUUGCGGCUCAACCGUAAAAUUGCAGUUGAAACUGGCAGUCUUGAGUACAGUAGAGGUAGGCGGAAUUCGUGGUGUAGCGGUGAAAUGCUUAGAUAUCACGAAGAACUCCGAUUGCGAAGGCAGUUCACUGGACUGCAACUGACACUGAGGCUCGAAAGUGUGGGUAUCAAACAGGAUUAGAUACCCUGGUAGUC
Molecule: ribosomal RNA, 460 nt
Filed under: uncultured bacterium
Lineage: Bacteria
Description: partial 16S ribosomal RNA
Rfam family: Bacterial small subunit ribosomal RNA
Source: RNAcentral